CCUACGGGGGGCUGCAGUGGGGAAUAUUGGACAAUGGGCGGAAGCCUGAUCCAGCAAUACCGCGUGUGUGAAGAAGGCCUGAGGGUUGUAAAGCACUUUCAAUAGGAAGGAAUACCUAUCCAUUAAUACUGGGUAGACUGACAUUACCUAUACAAGAAGCACCGGCUAACUCCGUGCCAGCAGCCGCGGUAAUACGGAGGGUGCAAGCGUUAAUCGGAAUUAGUGGGCGUAACUCGUUAAGUGGCGGCUCAAAGCCCCGGGCUUAACCUGGGAAUGGCAUUUGAUACUGGCGAGCUAGAGUUGAGUAGAGGGGAGUGGAAUUUCAGGUGUAGCGGUGAAAUGCGUAGAGAUCUGAAGGAACACCAGUGGCGAAGGCGACUCCCUGGACUCAAACUGACGCUGAGGUACGAAAGCGUGGGUAGCAAACAGGAUUAGAUACCUGUGUAGUC
RNAcentral lists this ribosomal RNA (449 nucleotides) under uncultured bacterium. Its description in RNAcentral is "partial 16S ribosomal RNA". It matches the Rfam family "Bacterial small subunit ribosomal RNA", at positions 338 to 795 of the family's 1533-position model. The record is from RNAcentral.